AUUGAACGCUGGCGGCAUGCUUUACACAUGCAAGUCGAACGGUAACAGGCCUUCGGGUGCUGACGAGUGGCGAACGGGUGAGUAAUGCAUCGGAACGUACCCAGAGGCGGGGGAUAACGCAGCGCAAGCUGUGCUCAUACCGCAUGUGAUCUGAGGAUGAAAGCGGGGGACCGAGCAGCAAUGUUUGGCCUCGCGCCUUUGGAGCGGCCGAUGUCGGAUUAGCUAGUUGGUGGGGUAAAGUCCUACCAAGGCGACGAUCCGUAGCUGGUCUGAGAGGACGACCAGCCACACUGGGACUGAGACACGGCCCAGACUCCUACGGGAGGCAGCAAUGGGGAAUUUUGGACAAUGGGCGCAAGCCUGAUCCAGCAAUGCCGCGUGCGGGAAGAAGGCCUUCGGGUUGUAAACCGCUGUUGGCAGGAACGAAACGGUGUCCGCUAAUACCGGGCGCUAAUGACGGUACCUGCAGAAUAAGCACCGGCUAACUACGUG
RNAcentral lists this ribosomal RNA (492 nucleotides) under uncultured bacterium. RNAcentral's name for it is "partial 16S ribosomal RNA". It matches the Rfam family "Bacterial small subunit ribosomal RNA", at positions 29 to 507 of the family's 1533-position model. The record is from RNAcentral.